CUUGGUCAUUUAGAGGAAGUAAAAGUCGUAACAAGGUAACCGUAGGUGAACCUGCGGUUGGAUCAUUACUGAUACUUGGUCUAUGAGUUGAUACCGAAAGGAGUCCUCAUAGCCAAAUUCACCUCUUGUGCACUAUAUUGUCUUUUGGUAGUUUAUACCUUGGUAUAGGCUGCCAAACUUUAUAACAAACCAUAUAAACUUGUCUGAAAUUAUAAUAAAAUAUAAACAACUUUUGACAACGGAUCUCUUGGCUCUCGCAACGAUGAAGAACGCAGCGAAAUGCGAUACGUAAUGUGAAUUGCUUUCCGUGAAUCAUCGAAUCUUUGAACGCACAUUGCACUCCUCUGGAGUAUGCCUGUUUGAGAAUCUAUAGUAUUAAUUUCUUGUGAUUUCAUUCGUGAAUGACCAAGGAGAUAUGAAGUUCCCAUCUCUUGGUGGGUUCUUUUAAAUAGAUUGCUACUAGUAAUACGAAAAUGCUUGACAUUUCUCUAUAUCUAUUAGAAAAGUAUGUGUAUGAAACUGUGGUUUCUCAUAAUGCCUAUUAUCUUAGAGGAGAUUUGGAGUUUUCAUAUGAACAGUUAGUCCACACCUAUAAAGGCGCAAGCCUUGAACCAUGGUCUCAAAUCAGGUAGGAAGACCCGCUGAACUUAAGCAUAUCAAUAAGCGGAGGA
This 671-nucleotide ribosomal RNA is filed under the name uncultured fungus. Its description in RNAcentral is "eukaryotic LSU rRNA". The stretch from base 228 to 369 matches the Rfam family "5.8S ribosomal RNA". The record is from RNAcentral. Lineage: Eukaryota; Fungi.